GCUGGGUAUGGUGGCGCACGCCUGUAAUCUCAGCAACCUGGGUGGCUGAGGCAGGAGGAUCUCAGGUUCAAGGCCUGCAUGGGCAACUUAGGGAUACCUUGUCUCAA
Molecule: small RNA, 107 nt
Filed under: Marmota monax (woodchuck)
Lineage: Eukaryota; Metazoa; Chordata; Mammalia; Rodentia; Sciuridae
Source: RNAcentral